UGUCGGAGCCGGAGGUUCCGGA
This 22-nucleotide microRNA is filed under the name Ephydatia muelleri. RNAcentral's name for it is "Emu-Mir-2018-P1_5p (mature (guide))". The record is from RNAcentral. RNAcentral also lists the same sequence under 1 other name. Lineage: Eukaryota; Metazoa; Porifera; Demospongiae; Spongillida; Spongillidae.